RNAcentral lists this ribosomal RNA (251 nucleotides) under uncultured bacterium. RNAcentral describes it as "partial small subunit ribosomal RNA". It matches the Rfam family "Bacterial small subunit ribosomal RNA", at positions 26 to 286 of the family's 1533-position model. The record is from RNAcentral.
AGGACGAACGCUGGCGGCGUGCUUAACACAUGCAAGUCGAGCGGAAAGGCCCUUCGGGGUACUCGAGCGGCGAACGGGUGAGUAACACGUGAGUAAUCUGCCCCUAGCUCUGGGAUAGCUCCGGGAAACCGGGAUUAAUACCGGAUACGACCACCUUAGACAUCUUUUGUGGUGGAAAGAAUUUCGGCUAGGGAUGAACUCGCGGCCUAUCAGCUUGUGGUGGGUAACGCCUACCAAGGCGACGACGGUAG